RNAcentral lists this ribosomal RNA (245 nucleotides) under uncultured bacterium. Its description in RNAcentral is "partial 16S ribosomal RNA". It matches the Rfam family "Bacterial small subunit ribosomal RNA", at positions 15 to 253 of the family's 1533-position model. The record is from RNAcentral.
GAUCAUGGCUCAGGAUGAACGCUGGCGGCGUGCUUAACACAUGCAGGUCGAACGGACUUUACAUGAAGCCUAGCGAUUGUAAAGUUAGUGGCGGACGGGUGAGUAACGCGUGAAUAACCUGGCCUGUACCGGGGGACAACAGUUGGAAACGGCUGCUAAUACCGCAUAAGCGCACGGUUCCGCAUGGAACAGUGUGAAAAACUCCGGUGGUACAGGAUGGAUUCGCGUCUGAUUAGCCAGUUGGG